GAGUGGCGAACGGGUGAGUAAUACAUCGGAACGUGCCCUGUAGUGGGGGAUAACUAGUCGAAAGAUUAGCUAAUACCGCAUACGACCUGAGGGUGAAAGUGGGGGACCGCAAGGCCUCAUGCUAUAGGAGCGGCCGAUGUCUGAUUAGCUAGUUGGUGGGGUAAAGGCCCACCAAGGCGACGAUCAGUAGCUGGUCUGAGAGGACGAUCAGCCACACUGGGACUGAGACACGGCCCAGACUCCUACGGGAGGCAGCAGUGGGGAAUUUUGGACAAUGGGCGAAAGCCUGAUCCAGCAAUGCCGCGUGUGUGAAGAAGGCCUUCGGGUUGUAAAGCACUUUUGUCCGGAAAGAAAUGGCUCUGGUUAAUACCUGGGGUCGAUGACGGUACCGGAAGAAUAAGGACCGGCUAACUACGUGCCAGCAGCCGCGGUAAUACGUAGGGUCCAAGCGUUAAUCGGAAUUACUGGGCGUAAAGCGUGCGCAGGCGGUUGUGCAAGACCGAUGUGAAAUCCCCGAGCUUAACUUGGGAAUUGCAUUGGUGACUGCACGGCUAGAGUGUGUCAGAGGGGGGUAGAAUUCCACGUGUAGCAGUGAAAUGCGUAGAGAUGUGGAGGAAUACCGAUGGCGAAGGCAGCCCCCUGGGAUAACACUGACGCUCAUGCACGAAAGCGUGGGGAGCAAACAGGAUUAGAUACCCUGGUAGUCCACGCCCUAAACGAUGUCAACUAGUUGUUGGGGAUUCAUUUCCUUAGUAACGUAGCUAACGCGUGAAGUUGACCGCCUGGGGAGUACGGUCGCAAGAUUAAAACUCAAAGGAAUUGACGGGGACCCGCACAAGCGGUGGAUGAUGUGGAUUAAUUCGAUGCAACGCGAAAAACCUUACCUACCCUUGACAUGCCACUAACGAAGCAGAGAUGCAUUAGG
RNAcentral lists this ribosomal RNA (925 nucleotides) under uncultured bacterium. RNAcentral's name for it is "bacterial SSU rRNA". It matches the Rfam family "Bacterial small subunit ribosomal RNA", at positions 93 to 1015 of the family's 1533-position model. The record is from RNAcentral.